GUGGGGAAUUUUGGACAAUGGGCGAAAGCCUGAUCCAGCCAUUCCGCGUGAGUGAAGAAGGCCUUCGGGUUGUAAAGCUCUUUCGGCAGGGAAGAAAUCGCUAAGGGUAAUAUCCUUGGCGGAUGACGGUACCUGAAGAAGAAGCACCGGCUAACUACGUGCCAGCAGCCGCGGUAAUACGUAGGGUGCGAGCGUUAAUCGGAAUUACUGGGCGUAAAGCGUGCGCAGGCGGUUUUUUAAGCCAGAUGUGAAAGCCCCGGGCUCAACCUGGGAACUGCGUUUGGAACUGAAAGACUAGAGUGUGUCAGAGGGAGGUGGAAUUCCACGUGUAGCAGUGAAAUGCGUAGAUAUGUGGAGGAACACCGAUGGCGAAGGCAGCCUCCUGGGAUAACACUGACGCUCAUGCACGAAAGCGUGGGGAGCAAACAGGAUUAGAUACCCCGGUAGUCC
RNAcentral lists this ribosomal RNA (450 nucleotides) under uncultured bacterium. RNAcentral describes it as "bacterial SSU rRNA". It matches the Rfam family "Bacterial small subunit ribosomal RNA", at positions 354 to 796 of the family's 1533-position model. The record is from RNAcentral.